GUCCGGCGUACUUCCUCACAGAAUCGAUGUUGAUUUCCAAUACUUUGAGGCAGACAUGCCUUCCAAUCACAAUUGUUUAUCAUUAUCCAGCUUUGGACUUGCUCAAGCUCCGAUUUCUCAGGAACUGGUGGCUGUAUUCGAAGAGAAUGCGAUGGAGAACUGCCGAAUUUUGGAUUCUGGAGCUGAUAUUGGAUUCUUAAACGAGAGGAAAAGCACUGCUCUUAUUGAAAAGAAUGAAGGCAUAUGUGAUAUGAC
Neltuma alba is the source of this 255-nucleotide long non-coding RNA. RefSeq lists it as uncharacterized. Lineage: Eukaryota; Viridiplantae; Streptophyta; Magnoliopsida; Fabales; Fabaceae. The transcript is spliced from 3 exons. The record is from RefSeq and is a predicted model, not a curated record.